CGAAGAGCACGGUGGUGGGUAACGCCCACCCGGGGUGACCCGCGGGACAGUGCCACAGAAAGCAGACCGCCCACCCGCCUCGGCGGCGUGGGUAAGGGUGAAACGGUGGUGCAAGAGACCACCAGCACCCCCGGUGACGGGGGUGGCUAGGCAAACCCCACCGGGAGCAAGACCAAGAAGGCGCCCUCCUGCAGAGGAGGACGCCGCGGGAGCGUUCGAGGGCUGCUCGCCCGAGCUCCCGGGUAGGUCGCACCAGGCCGCUGGCAACAGCGGUCGCAGAUGGAUGAUCGCCCCCUCCGCUCCGGCGGGGGG
RNAcentral lists this unclassified non-coding RNA (312 nucleotides) under Microlunatus antarcticus. Its description in RNAcentral is "Friedmanniella antarctica partial ribonuclease P RNA". It matches the Rfam family "Bacterial RNase P class A", at positions 60 to 324 of the family's 367-position model. From Rfam's summary of the family: Ribonuclease P (RNase P) is a ubiquitous endoribonuclease, found in archaea, bacteria and eukarya as well as chloroplasts and mitochondria. Its best characterised activity is the generation of mature 5'-ends of tRNAs by cleaving the 5'-leader elements of precursor-tRNAs. Cellular RNase Ps are ribonucleoproteins. The record is from RNAcentral. Lineage: Bacteria; Bacillati; Actinomycetota; Actinomycetes; Propionibacteriales; Propionibacteriaceae.